This 539-nucleotide ribosomal RNA is filed under the name uncultured bacterium. Its description in RNAcentral is "bacterial SSU rRNA". It matches the Rfam family "Bacterial small subunit ribosomal RNA", at positions 587 to 1113 of the family's 1533-position model. The record is from RNAcentral.
GUCAGGAGUGUAAUCCCCCCAGCCUCGACCUGUGGAACCUGCCUUGAUACUGUUCAGUUUAGAGGUAUAAGUUGAAGUUGGCCGGAAUGUGGUCAUGUAGCGGUGGAAAUGGCUUAGAUAUGACACAAGAACACCGAUCGGGACGGCAGCUAGGCUAAGCUAUAACCUGACGGUCAUGCACGAAAGCGUGGGGAUCAAACAGGAUUAGAUAUCCCUCGCUAGUCACGCUGUAAACGAUGACUACUCGAUGUAGCCGAUACACUGUCAGCGUCUGAGCGAAAAGCAAUAAGUAAUCCACCUGGGGAGUACGAUCGCAAGAUUGAAACUCAAAGGAAAUGACGGGGGCCCGCACAAGCGGAGGAGCAUGUGGGUUUAAUACGAUGAUACGCGAGGAACGUUACCUGGGCUCGAACGUGAGAUGACUAUGGGAGAAAUCUCAUAUCUCUUCGGAGCAUUUUACGAGGUGCUGCAUGGUUGUCGUCAGCUCGUGCCGUGAGGUGUCGGGUUACGUCCCAUAACGAGCGCAACCCCUACCUUUA